AAUUUUCCACCUUGUACAUAUAAAUAAUGGUGCACUCUACUUACAUGCGAAGAAAAUCAAAGAGAUUAAAAAUUUUCUAAUCUGUUCGGUCAAUUAAGAAGAUAUCUUCGUAAACAAAAAAAUUUUAAUUAAAAUAUUUCGAAAAUGGCUGCUUGAUUCACUACGUGCCUACUUAUCAUUAUACUAUCAAUCGGAUAUUUUUGUGAUAGAAAUAUGUCAGUGAUACCAUUGGAUGGAUCUUAUGGUCUGCCUGUUGUAAUUGAUUUUUUUAACCAAAAUUUAUACAUUAUUACUCGUAUUUUAGUUAAAAAGUAGAAUACAUACCUUUUUAGAAACGUCGUGUAUGUUAAAAUCUUCAAAAUAUGCGCGGGCUACUAUUCUUGAUAGCAAUGAUUUCGAUGAAUUUGGUUCUAAAUGCAGUUUCAGUUUCAAGUCAAAGACUCUUCAGCUUCGAAGAACCGGAUAAGAAAUUUGAAGCUACGGAACAAGCAUUAAAAAAAGCAUUGAGGGAACUGGACAAUGGGAAAACCACCGAUAAAUAUGGAGUAAAUCCGCUGAAUACCUAGUGGCAAAAAACCAUGAAAUGUUGAAUGAAAAUUCCGUUGGCGAGGAAGCAGCGUUUCAUUUCCAAUUCUAUUCUAAUUUUAAAAUACCAAGGGACAGAAAUGUACAUAUAUUUAUUAAGCGAUGUCAUAUUUCAGUCGAGAUACCCCUUCACCCUCAUUUCUCAUCUUCAAGCAUCGAUAAAACUGUAAGGGAGAAGUUGUUAAUGAAUGAAAAAAAGGCAACAGCGCUUUCGAUACAUUCAGCACAAUUUUUGAUUCAUUUGUGGCAAGAUAUCAUAAACAAACUAAUUCAACAUUUUGUAUGUACAUAUUUUUACCUAUAAUUAAAAGAAAUUAUUUUUGAA
Molecule: long non-coding RNA, 910 nt
Organism: Planococcus citri (citrus mealybug)
Lineage: Eukaryota; Metazoa; Arthropoda; Insecta; Hemiptera; Pseudococcidae
Exons: 2
Source: RefSeq, a predicted model, not a curated record